CAGACUAGAUAUCAUAAUCACAAAGGUAGUUUUCCCAGGGUAAGUCUCAUCCAUUGCACUCUGGGGGGUGCUGACCCCUGUGAUUUCCCCAAAUGGGGGAAACUCAACUG
This 110-nucleotide small nuclear RNA is filed under the name Chelydra serpentina (North American snapping turtle). RNAcentral describes it as "U1 spliceosomal RNA (ENSCSRG00000005160.1)". It matches the Rfam family "U1 spliceosomal RNA", at positions 13 to 122 of the family's 166-position model. Rfam says of the family: U1 is a small nuclear RNA (snRNA) component of the spliceosome (involved in pre-mRNA splicing). Its 5' end forms complementary base pairs with the 5' splice junction, thus defining the 5' donor site of an intron. The record is from RNAcentral. Lineage: Eukaryota; Metazoa; Chordata; Testudines; Chelydridae.